AUUGAACGCUGGCGGCAUGCCUUACACAUGCAAGUCGAACGGUAACGGGCCUUCGGGUGCCGACGAGUGGCGCACGGGUGAGUAAUACAUCGGAACGUGCCCGAUCGUGGGGGAUAACGAGGCGAAAGCUUUGCUAAUACCGCAUACGAUCUACGGAUGAAAGCAGGGGACCGCAAGGCCUUGCGCGGACGGAGCGGCCGAUGGCAGAUUAGGUAGUUGGUGGGAUAAAAGCUUACCAAGCCGACGAUCUGUAGCUGGUCUGAGAGGAUGAUCAGCCACACUGGGACUGAGACACGGCCCAGACUCCUACGGGAGGCAGCAGUGGGGAAUUUUGGACAAUGGGCGCAAGCCUGAUCCAGCCAUGCCGCGUGCAGGAUGAAGGCCUUCGGGUUGUAAACUGCUUUUGUACGGAACGAAAAGCCUUCUUUUAAUACAGGAGGGUCACGACGGUACCGUAAGAAUAAGCACCGGCUAACUACGUG
Molecule: ribosomal RNA, 482 nt
Filed under: uncultured bacterium
Lineage: Bacteria
Description: partial 16S ribosomal RNA
Rfam family: Bacterial small subunit ribosomal RNA
Source: RNAcentral